UAGAGGUCUUCGCCUGGCGCCAGCAGGUCAGGAUUACCACUUUAGCUGCGUUCAAGAGUCGUGGUAUCACCAAGUGUUUGUACCUCUGUACUGUAUUGGAUGUGUGAUGUAGCAAGUAGGUUCCACUUGGGGCGGCAACUCCAAUAGUCUCCCUACUACUUGGCUAAUCGUUUCCCAGAAUGGCAUGAUUAAUCGUGCCUCUUUCUAUUCCGC
Molecule: non-coding RNA, 213 nt
Organism: Pelobates cultripes (western spadefoot toad)
Lineage: Eukaryota; Metazoa; Chordata; Amphibia; Anura; Pelobatidae
Source: the annotation of a GenBank genome assembly